Molecule: non-coding RNA, 357 nt
Organism: Vicia faba (fava bean)
Lineage: Eukaryota; Viridiplantae; Streptophyta; Magnoliopsida; Fabales; Fabaceae
Source: the annotation of a GenBank genome assembly
AUGAUAAUUGCACAGGAGUCAGGAGGCAUAUUUUCUGUCGGUAUUUCCAAAAUGCAAUCCAACAAACAAUUCACAUGCAAUCCCAAACUAACCCUUAUCGCUGUUGUGUUUCUCUUCUUCUUCUUCUUCUUCUUCAUGAUGCUAUUAAGAUCAUCCACAUACUCAUUUCUACUUAAGUUGCACCUCAAACCCCAACCUCUCAAUAAUCUCAUCCUAAGAAGCAACACAAACAUAAACACAAACAGAAAAAUUCACACCGUCCACGCGCCUUUCACUCCCUUACACAACCACGUGCACACAAAAACCCCUUCAUCAGUAGCCAAAUCCCGUCAUUAUCUCAAGAAACAAACAACAUGA